ACUGUCUCUAAUUAAUUAAUAAUUUAAUUUAAUUUUUAAGUUAAAAAGCUUAAAUUUAUUUAAAGGACGAGAAGACCCUAUAGAGUUUUAUAAAUUUUAUUUUAUAUUAAAUUUUAAUUAUAUUUAUAUAUUUUAAAUUUAUUUUAUUGGGGCGAUAGGAAAAUUUAAUAAACUUUUUUAAUUGUGUUUACAUUAAUUUAUGAGUUUUUGAUCCUUAUUUU
RNAcentral lists this ribosomal RNA (221 nucleotides) under Rhogogaster sp. YI-2013a. Its description in RNAcentral is "partial 16S ribosomal RNA". The record is from RNAcentral. Lineage: Eukaryota; Metazoa; Arthropoda; Insecta; Hymenoptera; Tenthredinidae.